UGGGGGAUAUUGCACAAUGGGCGAAAGCCUGAUGCAGCGACGCCGCGUGGGGGAUGAAGGCCUUCGGGUUGUAAACUUCUUUUGCUCUGAACAAGGCGCACCAUGGGGUGUGUUGAGUGUAGGGGUUGAUUAGCGCGGCUAACUACGUGCCAGCAGCCGCGGUAAUACGUAGGGCGCGAGCGUUGUCCGGAAUUAUUGGGCGUAAAGGGCUUGUAGGUGGCUGGUUGCGUCUGUCGUGAAAGCUCAUGGCUUAACUGUGGGUUUGCGGUGGGUACGGGCUGGCUUGAGUGCAGUAGGGGAGGCUGGAAUUCCUGGUGUAGCGGUGGAAUGCGCAGAUAUCAGGAGGAAUACCGGUGGCGAAGGCGGGUCUCUGGGCUGUUACUGACACUGAGGAGCGAAAGCAUGGGGAGCGAACAGG
This 418-nucleotide ribosomal RNA is filed under the name bacterium. Its description in RNAcentral is "partial 16S ribosomal RNA". It matches the Rfam family "Bacterial small subunit ribosomal RNA", at positions 355 to 776 of the family's 1533-position model. The record is from RNAcentral.